Triticum dicoccoides is the source of this 2927-nucleotide long non-coding RNA. RefSeq lists it as uncharacterized. The record is from RefSeq and is a predicted model, not a curated record. Lineage: Eukaryota; Viridiplantae; Streptophyta; Magnoliopsida; Poales; Poaceae. The transcript has 6 exons.
UGUGUGCGUGCUUAUGUCCGGGUGAAAGUAGCGCGAGCAGGGUCCCGUGAAAAUAUCUCAUCUUUCGUGCUCUCCCCUCCCCGAUCCCCUCCUUCCCUCUCCUCUCCCUUGCCUUCUCUCCCGUGCCCCCUCCCCUGAUCCCCUUCUUCCCUCCCGUCACGCUGCUGGCUCCAUGCGGCGGCCGACGCGGCCUUCUCUUCCCGGCGCUCGAGGUGCAGCAGCGGGUGCGACAGUUCUCGGUCCAGCCGGGUGGGGAAAAGGUCGCCGGCAUCACGCGCUGCGCGCCGUGAUUCUGCAUUGGGCGCAGAUCUUCGCCUCGCCACAUCUCCUCCUCCUUGUCCUUCUCUCUGUCUCCCAUGCCGCCACCAUUGCAAGGAGCAGGGGAGAUAGGCGCCGAGGAUAAGAAGCAUCGGGUUGGUCGUGGUGGGCUUGAGCAGUUGGGGAGGAGAGCAGGAGGCCGUCGUGGUUCGUCAUGGAGACGGCGCCGCUAGCAAGAUGGUUGAGGUUGCUGCUUGUCGUUGGUUGUAAGCAGAGUCGUUGUGGUGGUUGGUGUCUCCUAGGCAGUACGGUGGUCUCAGAUGAUCCUUCAAAGGAGGCCACAGAGAUCAGUGAUUACUUCUUGGUAGUCUGCGGGGAGUUAUCGACAACAGCGAGGCACUUGGAGAAAACCAAAUAUGCUCCAUGCCGAUAUGCUUCAUGACGAGCGUGCAUUUGUCAUCCCACACACUCUCAGAUGUCUGGUAGAAUUACUAGAAGUAGCAGAUCUAUUCUUUGUUUGCUAUACUAGCUUGCCGUCAGCUUACGCCAAUGACCCAAGUUGGCGGUCCUGUGAACAUGGAUUUUUAUCUAUAAAACAUGUAUUGAAAUCUUGAGAACUUCGGGCCUGACAUGUGCUCAUGCACUUGGUGAGGAACAUGAGACCUUUAAUGUCUAUUAAGUCAUGUUUUUGCACAAUUCUUGGGUGUAGCUUUACCGAACAAUAUAACGCUUCUAAGAGCUGCCACUUUUACACUAAUAAUGCAGUGUAGAGGCCUGUGUGUAGAGCUAACAAGGAAAAUCCAUUGCCAUGGAUUUAGUGACUUCACAAGGAUAGCACAUAGAUGAAGACUUGCCUUUUUUGUAUGAGAUGUGAUUUCUUCGGCACCCGCCGUUCUAGCGCCAUCGACGGUUCAAACUGAUCCGGUACGCUCAAUAUGCCUCGUUGGCCGUGGUCAGCGUACUUUUCAUCGCCGUGGUAAAAAUCCAUGCGCUCGUUCUUCUGUACACGCAGCAUAACUGGGUUAGAGUGACUGACGCAUGGCCAGCCUCGCAGCGACAGCGUGUGUGCAUGCUUAUGUCCGGGUGAAAGCAGCGUGAGCAGGGUCCCGUGAAAAUAUCUCAUCUCCCGUGCUCUCCCCUCCCCGAUCCCCUCCUUCCCUCUCCUCUCCCUUGCCUUCUCUCCCGUGACCCCCUCCUCCGAUCCCCUCCUUCCCUCCUGUCAUGCUGCCGGCUCCAUGCGGCGGCCGACGCGGCCUUCUCUUCCCGGCGCUCGAGGUGCAGCAGCGGGUGCGACAGUUCUCGGUCUAGCCGGGUGGGGCGCAGGUCGCCGACAUCACGCGCCGCGCACCGUGAUUCUGCAUCAGGCACAGAUCUUCGCCCCGCCACAUCUCCUCCUCCUUGUCCUUCUCUCUUUCUCCGAUGCCGCCACCAUUGCAAGGAGUAGGGGAGAUAGGCGCCAAGGAUAAGAAGCACCGUGUUCGUCGCGGUGGGCUUGAGCAGUUGGGGAGGAGAGCAGGAGGCCGUCGUGGUUCGUCAUGGAGACGGCGCCGCUGGCAAGAUGGUUGAGGUACGUGUCUGAUCCGUUGGUCCUUCAUGAUUGUAGUUGUUCAUUCUCCUCAUAGACUAUGUUUCCCUUUCCUUCCUCAAUCUGCUUUUCCCAGUUGUUCUUGUUGUAGAACUGCAGCGGUUCAUUCAGCGCGGGCUGAUGUGCAGGCUUGACCUAGGCAGGUUGCUACUCGUCGUUGGUUGUAAGCAGAGUCGUUGUGGUGGUCGGUGUCUCCUAGGCAGGUUUGUCUUCUACCUCUGAACAAUCUGUUUGUUGCCGAUAGUUUAUACAGCAAAACUGGCUCUUGUGUCUGGCCUGGAGUGUUGUGGCUGGUAGGGAAAGUCCAUAGGAGUCUGCUUUUAGAGGUGUCGUAAUAUGAGAGGUCAUUUGUUUGCAUGUCGGUGCAUCUUUGGAUCUAUCUGUCUGAAGAUGCUUCUUUACAGGAAACUAUUCGUUCUAGCCCAGGGGUGUUCCUUUGCAUUUUAACCAGUGUGAUGUUGUUUUCUUCCACUGCCUACAUGUACUCCUAUAGCCUAUUGUUUAUCCCUGCUAAGUUUGUUUUAUAUAUGUUUAUAUGAAAAAAUUAAUGGGGCAUCAUCUUGGUAGAUUGAGUUUGCUAGAUUAGUUUCAUGCCAUCGAAAACAACAAGCAGAUGGAGCGGGACGGGGUGAAGGUUCCCGUCCCAUGGCCUUCACGUGUUGUGGCUGGCGGCGCUCCACUUCCUUCCCCCCUAGUGAGUCGUCCUUGAUCUGAAAAAUAUUUACUCCCCGUGCUGAUUUGUUUCUUGGCAUACAGUACAGUGGUCUCAGAUGAUCCUUCAAAGGAGGCCACACAGAGCAGCGAUUACUUCUUGGUAGUCUGCGGGGAGUUAUCGACAACAGCUGAGGCACUUGGAGGUAUGGUGCCAUCACUGCUCAGCUUCCCCCAUGUUUCCUUUCAGUUUAGAGCUUUCACUUCCUUUAGCCAGGUUUGCAAUUUCAGAUUGCCAGCUACCUUUUAUUGGUGUAUAUGCAAGGAAUAGAGGUUUCUUGAUCAAUCUGGUUAUAACUUUAUUCUCUUGUUUGAUUGACACAUUGUUUUAGUUAUCAGAAAGGUAAACUGGCCAUGUGAAAAUAAACUAGCU